ACGGAGGGUGCGAGCGUUGUUCGGAUUUACUGGGCGUAAAGGGCGCGUAGGCGGUUUGUUAAGUUAAGGGUGAAAUCCCAGGGCUCAACCCUGGAACUGCUCUUAAAACUGGCAGACUAGAGACAGAUAGAGGUGAGUGGAAUUCCUGGUGUAGAGGUGAAAUUCGUAGAUAUCAGGAGGAACACCGGAGGCGAAGGCGGCUCACUGGAUCUGUUCUGACGCUGAGGCGCGAAAGCGUGGGGAGCAAACGGG
RNAcentral lists this ribosomal RNA (252 nucleotides) under uncultured bacterium. RNAcentral describes it as "partial 16S ribosomal RNA". It matches the Rfam family "Bacterial small subunit ribosomal RNA", at positions 525 to 776 of the family's 1533-position model. The record is from RNAcentral.